AAGAGCUCCGGCCCCUCUCAGCUCUGACCACUCUCUGCAGACAGCCUCCAACAGGGCCUCUUGGGACUGGCCAGGGACGCAGCAGGAGGCAGGUGCCAGGGGCUCGUUCCUCCCUGCACCCUGUGGCCUUUCCACUGGACUGCUCACCUGCCUGCCACCCCAGGAGGACAUCCUGAGUCCCUACUGCGGUCAGCCUCGGGGGAGGGCCACCUGGGUGAGUUGAGUCCUGGCCACUCAGGGCCCCUUGAGCUUCUCUUUUGCUCUCUGGGGGCAUUUUGUGUGGGCAUAGGUGGGAUUUUAGCUGCUGUGUGGACAACGGGGUCAGAAUAAGGGCUUAGGGGCCCAUGAAAGAGCCGGCACAGAGCACACCGCUCCUGACAGCUGUGGGGGCUGCUGGAGCCGCAGGGUCUGCUUGCUCAGGGGGCCCUGCAGGGUCCAGGGCUGGCUCCGUCCACCCUGUCUCCCCCCUAUAGGCACUGCUUUGGGAGAGCUCAAGACAAGUCCUGUGCCUGCUACAACAAAAGCCCUCUCCUGAAGCCUCUGGAAUGUGGCCGAGCUCAGCCCACCCACUGCUGCCCACCUCUGGACCUGCUGCUCUUGGCAGACUCCACCCAGAGUUUAACGCCCAAGCCACCACCACAGCAGUGUCCAGGCCAUCUGCUCUGGCAACGGCUACCCUCGGAGCAUCCUCCAGAUGGUGACAAACUGCAGAGCUUGCAGACCUGGCCACCCCCACAGCGGAUGCUGGAGGAGUCCCCUGCAACCAGCUAAGCUCAUGUCACCGGCAGAGGCUUCUAAAUAUAGCAGCAGGCUUCACAUGGGAAGGGACUUCCAAAUGGACCUUCAGGAGAACCAGAUGUCAGCUGGACGCGGCUCCAAGUCUUCCCACCCGUUAUUUCCUGGAGAGGGCAGCCAUGCACAGAACCCAGGCCCACCAUGCCUGUCCUGGGGGCUCUCCCAGCUCACUGUUGGGCAGGAGGAGGGCACCAUUCCUCUGCACCCCCUGGAGUUUGCAGAUGCUGUGGCCCACACUGCUCCAGCCGAGCAUGGUCAUUGAGACCUGUCACCGAGUGACAGAAUGCUCACGUCCACUCCAGGGCAGCCACUGUUCCUUCCACAUUUGCAGGUGAGGAAACUGAGGCAGAAAGGACUUU
RNAcentral lists this long non-coding RNA (1154 nucleotides) under Ictidomys tridecemlineatus (thirteen-lined ground squirrel). Its description in RNAcentral is "lncRNA (ENSSTOG00000032781.1)". The record is from RNAcentral. Lineage: Eukaryota; Metazoa; Chordata; Mammalia; Rodentia; Sciuridae.